AGAGUUUGAUCCUGGCUCAGGAUGAACGCUGGCGGCGUGCCUAACACACGCAAGUCGAACGGGGUUGACUUACGGAAGUUUUCGGAUGGAAGUGAGUCAACUUAGUGGCGGACGGGUGAGUAACGCGUGGGCAACCUGCCCCAUGUCGGGGGAUACCGCCUGGAAACAGGCGCUAAUACCGCAUAAGCGCAUACAGCCGCAUGGCAGUAUGCGGAAAGCUCCGGCGGCAUGGGAUGGGCCCGCGCCCGAUUAGCCAGUUGGCGGGGUAACGGCCCACCAAAGCGUCGAUCGGUAGCCGGCCUGAGAGGGCGGACGGCCACAUUGGGGACUGAGACACGGCCCCAAACUCCUACGGGAGGCAGCAGUGGGGGAAUAUUGCACAAAUGGGGGGAAACCCUGAUGCAGCGACGCCGCGUGGGUGAAGGAGCGUUUUGGCGCGUAAAACCCUGUCCGCGGGGAAGAAGAAAGACGGUACCCGACCCAGAAGCCCCGGCUAACUACGUGCCAGCAGCCGCGGUAAUACGUAGGGGGCGAGCGUUAUCCGGAAUUACUGGGUGUAAAGGGAGCGUAGACGGCGAGGUAAGCCUGAAGUGGAAGCCCGCGGCCCAACCGCGGAACUGCUUUGGGAACUGUUUUGCUGGAGUAUGGGAGGGGUAAGCGGAAUUCCUGGUGUAGCGGUGAAAUGCGUAGAUAUCAGGAGGAACACCGGUGGCGAAGGCGGCUUACUGGACCAUAACUGACGUUGAGGCUCGAAAGCGUGGGGAGCGAACAGGAUUAGAUACCCUGGUAGUCCACGCCGUAAACGAUGAUUACUAGGUGUCGGGUGUCGAAGGACGGCCGGUGCCGCAGCGAACGCAGUAAGUAAUCCACCUGGGGAGUACGUUCGCAAGAAUGAAACUCAAAGGAAUUGACGGGGACCCGCACAAGCGGUGGAGCAUGUGGUUUAAUUCGAAGCAACGCGAAGAACCUUACCCGGCCUUGACAUCCCCCUGACAGUAUCUGUAACGGAUAUUUCCUUCGGGACAGGGGAGACAGGUGGUGCAUGGUCGUCGUCAGCUCGCGUCGUGAGAUGUUGGGUCAAGUCCCGCAACGAGCGCAACCCCUGCCCCCAGUAGCCAGCAUGAAAGGUGGGCACUCUGGGGGGACUGCCGGGGAUAACCCGGAGGAAGGCGGGGAUGACGUCAAAUCAUCAUGCCCCUUAUGGCCGGGGCUACACACGUGCUACAAUGGCGUAAACAGAGGGAAGCGAGACAGCGAUGUUAAGCGAACCCCAAAAAUAACGUCCCAGUUCGGAUUGCAGCCUGCAACUCGGCUGCAUGAAGCUGGAAUCGCUAGUAAUCGCGGAUCAGAAUGCCGCGGUGAAUACGUUCCCGGGUCUUGCACACACCGCCCGUCA
Molecule: ribosomal RNA, 1396 nt
Filed under: uncultured bacterium
Lineage: Bacteria
Description: bacterial SSU rRNA
Rfam family: Bacterial small subunit ribosomal RNA
Source: RNAcentral